RNAcentral lists this ribosomal RNA (466 nucleotides) under uncultured bacterium. RNAcentral describes it as "partial 16S ribosomal RNA". It matches the Rfam family "Bacterial small subunit ribosomal RNA", at positions 28 to 507 of the family's 1533-position model. The record is from RNAcentral.
GAUGAACGCUGGCGGCGUGCUUAACACAUGCAAGUCGAACGAUGAAGCCCAGCUUGCUGGGUGGAUUAGUGGCGAACGGGUGAGUAACACGUGAGUAACCUGCCCUUAACUCUGGGAUAAGCCUGGGAAACUGGGUCUAAUACCGGAUAGGAGCGUCCACCGCAUGGUGGGUGUUGGAAAGAUUUAUCGGUUUUGGAUGGACUCGCGGCUUAUCAGCUUGUUGGUGAGGUAAUGGCUCACCAAGGCGACGACGGGUAGCCGGCCUGAGAGGGUGACCGGCCACACUGGGACUGAGACACGGCCCAGAAUCCUACGGGAGGCAGCAGUGGGGAAUAUUGCACAAUGGGCGCAAGCCUGAUGCAGCGACGCCGCGUGAGGGAUGACGGCCUUCGGGUUGUAAACCUCUUUCAGUAGGGAAGAAGCGAAAGUGACGGUACCUGCAGAAGAAGCACCGGCUAACUACGUG